Molecule: long non-coding RNA, 700 nt
Organism: Salmo trutta (river trout)
Lineage: Eukaryota; Metazoa; Chordata; Actinopteri; Salmoniformes; Salmonidae
Product: prothymosin alpha-like
Source: Ensembl
UUUACAUCAGAGUGCACGCUUUACAUUUUCAACCAAUUAGGAGAAGGACAGCUGGGAGGAGCUUGAUAAUCGGGAUCAAAUUCGGGAGAUUGACAACAAUCUGUCCAAUAAGAACCGUUUAAGCGUGUUAGUAACUUUAGAUGGUCCAAUUACGUUUUAGAUCUACCGUCUCCAUUCUAACUAAUGGACUACAGUUGUAGCUGGUGUUCAUAACUCUCUCCUCAGCGUGUCAUUGAAACAGGGCUAUAUCACUGCCAUAAACAUCAAACAAAGUAUUUAUUUCGGAAGUAUAUUAUACCCUUAAAUUAAACUAGCUAUGGCUGAUACCGCAGUGGAGACGACCACAACCACCGAGAUUUCAGCAAAGGAGCUCAAAGAGAAGAAAGAGGUUGCCGAGGAGGUGGUGGAGAAGGAGAACGGCAGUGGGGACGCACCUGGCAAGGAAACACACACAAAUGGUGCAGAGGAGACAAAUGGUGCAGAGGGGAAGACAAAUGGUGCAAUUCAUUCUGAAGUAACGCCAGAGGUUGAAGAGGAUGGAGAGGGAGAGGAUGCAGCUGAAGAUGCAGAAGAAGCUGCUGAGGUUGACCACCCUGUGAAACGCCCAGCUGAGGAGGAGGUACAGUUUUGUCCGAUUUUAAACCCGUCAAUAUACAAUGGUCUCACAGUAAAAGUUGAGCCAUCUUUAUUACUGUUUUAA